This is a small nucleolar RNA of Nematolebias whitei (Rio pearlfish), 136 nucleotides long. RefSeq annotates it as small nucleolar RNA SNORD94. Lineage: Eukaryota; Metazoa; Chordata; Actinopteri; Cyprinodontiformes; Rivulidae. The transcript has a single exon. The record is from RefSeq and is a predicted model, not a curated record.
GGAGUGAUGAUGAGUGGCGCAGGGGUACGGACCUCAGCCGGAUCAUGGGGGCUGAGUGCUGCUGCAGGACCUGAUCAGGAACAUGUGGUUCCGUCAGGGUCGGCCGCAGCACGACACAGACGCCUGACUGAACUAA